Non-coding RNA from Aedes albopictus (Asian tiger mosquito), 59 nucleotides. NCBI's taxonomy places the organism in Eukaryota, Metazoa, Arthropoda, Insecta, Diptera, Culicidae. The record is from Rfam.
UAGCCUAGUGGUUAAGGCUUUGGAUCGCCAAUCCAGAGACGGCGGGUUCGAUUCCCGGU